RNAcentral lists this unclassified non-coding RNA (517 nucleotides) under Phialemonium limoniforme. RNAcentral describes it as "sequence contains ITS1, 5.8S rRNA gene and ITS2". The stretch from base 147 to 300 matches the Rfam family "5.8S ribosomal RNA". The record is from RNAcentral. Lineage: Eukaryota; Fungi; Ascomycota; Sordariomycetes; Cephalothecales; Cephalothecaceae.
AACCAUUGUGAACAUACCCGUACCGUUGCCUCGGCGGGCGGCCCCAGGGCGGGGCCGUAGCCUCCCCUCCGCGGGGGGCGCCCGCCGCAGGUCCGAAAACCAUUUUGAAUAUAGUGGCACCUCUGAGUUAGCUUCUAAACAAUCAAAACUUUCAACAACGGAUCUCUUGGUUCUGGCAUCGAUGAAGAACGCAGCGAAAUGCGAUAAGUAAUGUGAAUUGCAGAAUUCAGUGAAUCAUCGAAUCUUUGAACGCACAUUGCGCCCGCCAGCAUUCUGGCGGGCAUGCCUGUCCGAACGUCAUUUCAACCCCCAAGCCCCGCUUGGUGUUGGGGCGCUACGCGAGAGCGUACGCCCUCAAAAUCAGUGGCGGGCUCGCCGAAGACCCGGGCGUAGUAAUACGUCUCCCCGGAGUCCCAGGCGGGUCCCUGCCGUUAAACCCCCAAAAUCACAGAAGGUUGACUUCGGAUCAGGUAGGAAUACCCGCUGAACUUAAGCAUAUCAAUAAGCGGAGGAAAAG